RNAcentral lists this long non-coding RNA (1686 nucleotides) under Phascolarctos cinereus (koala). Its description in RNAcentral is "lncRNA (ENSPCIG00000032793.1)". Lineage: Eukaryota; Metazoa; Chordata; Mammalia; Diprotodontia; Phascolarctidae. The record is from RNAcentral.
AAGCCAGGCAUCAAAGCUGCAUUACUGCAGCAGCUUCUCAGUUGAUGGCCCUGCUUCUAGUGCCCUCUGCCCCCCUCUCUCUCUCUCUCUCUCUCUCUCUCUCUCUCUCUCUCUCUCUCUCUGUGUGUGUGUGUGUGUCUGUCUCUGUCUUUCUCUGUCUCUCUAUCUCUCUGUCUCUCUCUGCAUCUCUGUCUCUGUCUUUCUCUCUGUCUCUGUGUCUCUGUGUCUCUGUCUCUGUAUCUGUCUCUCUCUGUGUCUCUCUAGCUCUCUCUCUCUGUGUCUCUGUCUUUCGCUGUCUAUCUCUGUCUUUGUCUCUCUGGCUCUGUCUCUCUAUAUCUCUGUCUCUGUCUUUCUCUCUGUCUCUAUCUCUCUAUGUCUCUGUCUCUGUCUUUCUCUCUGUCUCUGUCUCUCUGUGUCUCUGUCUCUGUCUUUCUCUCUGUCUCUGUCUCUGUAUCUGUCUCUCUCUGUGUCUCUCUAGCUCUCUCUCUCUGUGUCUCUGUCUUUCGCUGUCUAUCUCUUUGUCUCUCUGCGUCUCUGUCUCUGUCUUUCUCUCUGUCUCUAUCUCUCUGUGUCUCUGUCUCUGUCUUUCUCUCUGUCUCUGUCUCUCUGUGUCUCUGUCUCUGUAUCUGUCUCUGUGUCUCUCUAGCUUUCUCUGUGUCUCUGUCUUUUGCUGUCUAUCUCUGUCUUUGUCUCUCUGGCUCUGUCUCUGUCUCUCUAUUCUCUGUCUCUCUCUGCUCUCUCUCUGUUUUUCUCUGUCUAUCUCUCUGUCUCUGUCUCUCUUUCUCUCUGUCUCUGUAUCUGUCUCUCUCUGUGUCUCUCUAGCUCUCUCUCUCUCUGUCUCUGUCUUUCGCUGUCUAUCUCUGUCUUUGUCUCUCUGGUUCUGUCUCUGUCUCUCUAUCUCUCUGUCUCUCUCUGCAUCUCUGUCUCUGUCUUUUUCUCUGUCUCUAUCUCUCUGUGUCUCUGUCUCUCUUUCUCUCUGUCUCUGUCUCUGUAUCUGUCUCUCUCUGUGUCUCUCUAGCUCUCUCUGUGUCUCUGUCUUUUGCUGUCUAUCUCUGUCUUUGUCUCUCUGGUUCUGUCUCUGUCUCUCUAUCUCUCUGUCUCUCUCUGCAUCUCUGUCUCUGUCUUUCUCUCUGUCUCUAUCUCUCUGUGUCUCUGUCUCUCUUUCUCUCUGUCUCUGUCUCUGUAUCUGUCUCUCUCUGUGUCUCUCUAGCUCUCUCUGUGUCUCUGUCUUUUGCUGUCUAUCUCUGUCUUGUCUCUCUGGUUCUGUCUCUGUCUCUCUAUCUCUCUGUCUCUCUCUGCAUCUCUGUCUCUGUCUUUCUCUCUGUCUCUAUCUCUCUGUGUCUCUGUCUCUCUUUCUCUCUGUCUCUGUCUCUGUCUCUGUCUCUCUCUGUGUCUCUCUAGCUCUCUCUCUGUGUGUCUCUGUCUUUUGCUGUCUAUCUCUGUCUUUGUCUCUCUGUCUCUGUCUCUGUCUUUCUCCUGUCUCUAUCUCUCUAUGUCUCUGUCUCUGUCUUUCUCUCUGUCUCUAUCUCUGUGUCUCUGUCUCUGUCUUUCUCUCUGUCUCUGUCUCUGUGUCUGUCUCUCUCUGUGUCUCUCUAGCUCUCUCUCUGUGUCUCUGUCUUUCGCUCUCUAUCUCUGUCUUUGUCUCUCUGUCUCUGUCUCUGUCUCUCUGUCUCUGUCUCUCUCUCU